CCUACGGGUGGCAGCAGUCGAGAAUCAUUCACAAUGGGGGAAACCCUGAUGGUGCGACGCCGCGUGGGGGAAUGAAGGUCUUCGGAUUGUAAACCCCUGUCAUGUGGGAGCAAAUUAAAAAGAUAGUACCACAAGAGGAAGAGACGGCUAACUCUGUGCCAGCAGCCCCGGUAAUACAGAGGUCUCAAGCGUUGUUCGGAAUCACUGGGCGUAAAGCGUGCGUAGGCUGUUUCGUAAGUCGUGUGUGAAAGGCGCGGGCUCAACCCGCGGACGGCACAUGAUACUGCGAGACUAGAGUAAGGGAGGGGGAACCGGAAUUCUCGGUGUAGCAGUGAAAUGCGUAGAUAUCGAGAGGAACACUCGUGGCGAAGGCGGGUUCCUGGACAUUAACUGACGCUGAGGCACGAAGGCCAGGGGAGCGAAAGGGAUUAGAUACCCCUGUAGUC
RNAcentral lists this ribosomal RNA (446 nucleotides) under uncultured bacterium. RNAcentral's name for it is "partial 16S ribosomal RNA". It matches the Rfam family "Bacterial small subunit ribosomal RNA", at positions 338 to 795 of the family's 1533-position model. The record is from RNAcentral.